Molecule: ribosomal RNA, 253 nt
Filed under: uncultured bacterium
Lineage: Bacteria
Description: partial 16S ribosomal RNA
Rfam family: Bacterial small subunit ribosomal RNA
Source: RNAcentral
UACGUAUGGUGCAAGCGUUAUCCGGAUUUACUGGGUGUAAAGGGAGCGCAGGCGGCGCGGCAAGUCCGAUGUGAAAACCCCCGGCUCAACCGGGGGACUGCAUUGGAAACUACCGGGCUGGAGUGCCGGAGAGGUAGGCGGAAUUCCUGGUGUAGCGGUGAAAUGCGUAGAUAUCAGGAGGAACACCAGUGGCGAAGGCGGCCUACUGGACGGUGACUGACGCUGAGGCUCGAAAGCGUGGGGAGCAAAUAGG